GGUCAUCCGUUGGGGUGCCCUGGACAACCAGGGCUGAGAGGUCUGUGACCAACCCAUCGAACCUGAUCCGGUCAAUACCGGCGGAGGGAACGGAGCACAGCAGACG
RNAcentral lists this non-coding RNA (106 nucleotides) under Roseovarius halotolerans. RNAcentral describes it as "TPP sequence". It matches the Rfam family "TPP riboswitch aptamer (THI element)". Rfam says of the family: Vitamin B(1) in its active form thiamin pyrophosphate (TPP) is an essential coenzyme that is synthesised by coupling of pyrimidine and thiazole moieties in bacteria. The previously detected thiamin-regulatory element, thi box was extended, resulting in a new, highly conserved RNA secondary structure, the THI element, which is widely distributed in eubacteria and also occurs in some archaea. The record is from Rfam by way of RNAcentral. Lineage: Bacteria; Pseudomonadati; Pseudomonadota; Alphaproteobacteria; Rhodobacterales; Roseobacteraceae.